RNAcentral lists this long non-coding RNA (326 nucleotides) under Vigna radiata. RNAcentral describes it as "long non-coding RNA (VRAD_LNC007338)". Lineage: Eukaryota; Viridiplantae; Streptophyta; Magnoliopsida; Fabales; Fabaceae. The record is from RNAcentral.
GAGCUGGCGCUGACUGUAACCCUCUCCAUCAAAACGGGCCUUGCUUCCAGCCCAACACCGUCAGGGCUCACUGUAACUACGCCGUGAAUAGCUACUUCCAAAAGAAGGGUCAGGCUCAAGGGUCCUGUGAGUUUGCAGGAACAGCCACUGUUACUGCUACUGACCCCAGUAAAUCCUCAAUCUCUAUUUUCUUUUUUCUUUUCUUAGCAUAUUUUUCUUUCAAAAGAAACCAGAGUAGCUGACCCUUUUACCUGUUUCUCUUUUUCUCCUUCUUGAUGAACAGGCACUGGCGGUUGUGUCUACCCUUCAAGUGUCAGGUAUGCAUU